This 946-nucleotide ribosomal RNA is filed under the name Amanita sp. 'maryaliceae'. RNAcentral describes it as "partial 28S ribosomal RNA". It matches the Rfam family "Eukaryotic large subunit ribosomal RNA", at positions 1 to 933 of the family's 3401-position model. Lineage: Eukaryota; Fungi; Basidiomycota; Agaricomycetes; Agaricales; Amanitaceae. The record is from RNAcentral.
UUGACCUCAAAUCAGGUAGGACUACCCGCUGAACUUAAGCAUAUCAAUAAGCGGAGGAAAAGAAACUAACAAGGAUUCCCUUAGUAACUGCGAGUGAAGAGGGAAAAGCUCAAAUUUAAAAUCUGGCAGUGCUUCACUGUCCGAGUUGUAACCUAGAGAAGUGUAACCUGUGCUGGACCGUGUAUAAGUCUCCUGGAAUGGAGCAUCACAGAGGGUGAGAAUCCCGUCUUUGACAUGGACUACCAGUGCAUUGUGGUUGCGCUCUCAACGAGUCGAGUUGUUUGGGAAUGCAGCUCUAAAUGGGUGGUAAAUUCCAUCUAAAGCUAAAUAUUGGCGAGAGACCGAUAGCGAACAAGUACCGUGAGGGAAAGAUGAAAAGAACUUUGGAAAGAGAGUUAAACAGUAUGUGAAAUUGUUGAAAGGGAAACGUUUGAAGUCAGUCGCGUUGGUUGGGGAUCAGCCUGACAUUGUUGGGUGUACUUCCUGGUCGACGGGCCAACAUCAGUUUUGACUGCCAGAAAAAGGCCAAAGGAAUGUGGCACCUUUGGGUGUGUUAUAGCCGUUGGUCGUAUAUGGUGGUUGGGACUGAGGAAAGCAGCGUGCCGAAAGGCCGGGUUUCGACCACGUUCACGCUGAGGAUGUUGGCAUAAUGGCUUUAAGCGACCCGUCUUGAAACACGGACCAAGGAGUCUAACAUGCAUGCGAGUGUUUGGGUGGAAAACCCUUACGCGUAAUGAAAGUGAAAGUUGAGAUCCCUGUCGCGGGGAGCAUCGACGCCCGGACCAGAACUUUUGGGACGGAUCUGCGGUAGAGCACGUAUGUUGGGACCCGAAAGAUGGUGAACUAUGCCUGAAUAGGGUGAAGCCAGAGGAAACUCUGGUGGAGGCUCGUAGCGAUUCUGACGUGCAAAUCGAUCGUCAAAUUUGGGUAUAGGGGCGAAAGACUA